ACGGAAGGCAGCAGUGAGGAAUAUUGGUCAAUGGGCGAGAGCCUGAACCAGCCAUGUCGCGUGCAGGAAUACGGCCCUAUGGGUUUUAAACUGCUUUUGCCUGGGGAUAAAGUGGCGGACUUGUCCGUUAUUGCAGGUACCAGGCGAAUAAGGAUCGGCUAACUCCGUGCCAGCAGCCGCGGUAAUACGGAGGAUCCGAGCGUUAUCCGGAUUUAUUGGGUUUAAAGGGAGCGUAGGCGGGAAGUCAAGUCAGCUGUGAAAUGUAGACGCUCAACGUCUGCACUGCAGUUGAAACUGGUUUUCUUGAGUGCGUAAGAGGCAGGCGGAAUUCGUCGUGUAGCGGUGAAAUGCUUAGAUAUGACGAAGAACUCCUAUUGCGAAGGCAGCUUGCUGGGCCGCAACUGACGCUGAAGCUCGAAGGUGCGGGUAUCGAACAGGAUUAGAUACCCUGGUA
Molecule: ribosomal RNA, 454 nt
Filed under: uncultured Prevotellaceae bacterium
Lineage: Bacteria; Pseudomonadati; Bacteroidota; Bacteroidia; Bacteroidales; Prevotellaceae
Description: bacterial SSU rRNA
Rfam family: Bacterial small subunit ribosomal RNA
Source: RNAcentral